RNAcentral lists this ribosomal RNA (272 nucleotides) under uncultured bacterium. Its description in RNAcentral is "partial 16S ribosomal RNA". The record is from RNAcentral.
CUGCUGCCUUCCGUAGGAGUCUGGUCCGUGUCUCAGUACCAGUGUGGGGGACCUUCCUCUCAGAACCCCUAGACAUCGUCGCCUUGGUGGGCCGUUACCCCGCCAACAAGCUAAUGUCACGAAUGCCCAUCCGUCUCCGGAGUUGCCUCCUUUGGCCGAAAGAAGAUGCCUCCCCUCGGCCACAUGCGGUAUUAGGCCGGAUUCCCCGGGUUAUCCCGCUGAAACGGGCAGGUUGCAUACGCGUUACUCACCCGUGCGCCGGUCGCCGGCGG